Molecule: transfer RNA, 67 nt
Filed under: Parocyusa longitarsis
Lineage: Eukaryota; Metazoa; Arthropoda; Insecta; Coleoptera; Staphylinidae
Description: tRNA-Asn
Source: RNAcentral
UUUUAAUUGAAACCAAAUAGAGGUAAAUCACUGUUAAUGAUUAAAUUAGGAAUAUUCCUCAAUUAAA